GCAACUUAGGCAGCACAUAUACUAAAAUUGGAAUGAUACAGAGGAGAUUAGCAUGGCCCCUGCGUAAGGAUGACACAAAAUUCGUGGUGUACCAUGUUUUU
Molecule: small nuclear RNA, 101 nt
Filed under: Echinops telfairi (small Madagascar hedgehog)
Lineage: Eukaryota; Metazoa; Chordata; Mammalia; Afrosoricida; Tenrecidae
Source: RNAcentral